UACAGAGGUCCCAAGCGUUGUUCGGAUUCACUGGGCGUAAAGGGUGCGUAGGCGGUCGGGUAAGUCUGAUGUGAAAUCUCCAAGCUCAACUUGGAAAUGGCAUCGGAUACUAUUCGGCUCGAGGAAUGGAGGGGAGACUGGAAUACUUGGUGUAGCAGUGAAAUGCGUAGAUAUCAAGUGGAACACCGGUGGCGAAGGCGGCUUCCUGGACCGACACUGACGCUGAGACGCGAAAGCGUGGGGAGCAAACAGG
This 253-nucleotide ribosomal RNA is filed under the name uncultured bacterium. RNAcentral describes it as "partial 16S ribosomal RNA". It matches the Rfam family "Bacterial small subunit ribosomal RNA", at positions 524 to 776 of the family's 1533-position model. The record is from RNAcentral.